AGUCACUUAGCUUAUAUAAUAAAGCAAAUAUUUUGAAAAUAUUAGAAAGAGAAAUUUAGUGACUU
Molecule: transfer RNA, 65 nt
Filed under: Graphocephala sp. EMHAU-2015-Zz052315
Lineage: Eukaryota; Metazoa; Arthropoda; Insecta; Hemiptera; Cicadellidae
Description: tRNA-Ser
Source: RNAcentral